This 483-nucleotide ribosomal RNA is filed under the name uncultured bacterium. Its description in RNAcentral is "bacterial SSU rRNA". It matches the Rfam family "Bacterial small subunit ribosomal RNA", at positions 30 to 507 of the family's 1533-position model. The record is from RNAcentral.
AUUGAACGCUGGCGGCAUGCCUUACACAUGCAAGUCGAACGGCAGCACGGGAGCAAUCCUGGUGGCGAGUGGCGAACGGGUGAGUAAUAUAUCGGAACGUGCCCGGUCGUGGGGGAUAACGUAGCGAAAGCUACGCUAAUACCGCAUACGAUCUACGGAUGAAAGCGGGGGAUCGCAAGACCUCGCGCGAUUGGAGCGGCCGAUAUCAGAUUAGGUAGUUAGUGAGGUAAAGGCUCACCAAGCCGACGAUCUGUAGCUGGUCUGAGAGGACGACCAGCCACACUGGGACUGAGACACGGCCCAGACUCCUACGGGAGGCAGCAGUGGGGAAUUUUGGACAAUGGGCGCAAGCCUGAUCCAGCAAUGCCGCGUGCAGGAUGAAGGCCUUCGGGUUGUAAACUGCUUUGUACGGAACGAAACGGUGAGCUCUAAUACAGUUUGCUAAUGACGGUACCGUAAGAAUAAGCACCGGCUAACUACGUG